CGAGCGGGCCGGGGCCCACUUAGAACACCACCUGCGGAGUCGCUCGUCACUUCGUCGCCGUCUCCGUCGUCUCUCCCCCUUUCCACGCCCCUCCAGAAGCCACCCUGCCGCUGCCGCUCCGAUCCAACCUACCCCCCAUGGCCUUCGCCAGCUCGCUCCUGCCCGCGCCGGCCUCCGGCGUCCGCGCGAGCCACGCCCCGGAGCUCGCCUUCCCGCCGGUCAACAGGAAGGGCGGCGUCUCGCUGCGGCGCCGGGGAGCCCGGCACGGAGUCAGGGCUGAAGUGAAUGAAUCUGCAAGUGCUGUAGCGAUUGAUGCUCUCUCCCAAGUUAAGCAUGUUCUACUUCCGAUCACUGAUCGCAACCCUUACCUUUCAGAAGGCACAAGACAGGCUGCAGCCACAACCACUUCUCUAGCAAAGAAGUAUGGAGCAAGCAUUACAGUAGUUGUUAUUGAUGAUAAGCCAAAGGAGUCAUUUCCAGAGCAUGAUACUCAAAUGUCAAGCAUUAGAUGGCACCUUUCUGAAGGUGGAUUUACAGAGUUUGGGUUGAUGGAGCGCCUUGGAGAAGGAAAGAAGCCGACAGCUAUCAUCGCAGAAGUCGCAGAUGAUUUGGAGUUAGACCUGGUCGUCCUUAGUAUGGAAGCGAUCCACUCGAAGCACGUCGAUGGGAAUUUGCUGGCUGAAUUCAUCCCCUGCCCCAUUCUGGUGCUCCCCCUCUAAUAAUGUCAUCUGUUUCUUUUUGGGGGGCUUUUAUCAUUUCAGAUGAAAUUCCUGACUAUUUCAUGGAUAUGAUGAUGCAUUUUGGGUUAGCUAUUUCAUGGAUAUGCAGGUUUGUGAUCAUGUGAAUAUUCAUAAGAACAAUAAGAGUGGUUCCUUUGUGAAAUUUGCUGUUCUGUUGCAUAAUCCUGUCAUGUAAAUACAUAUACUGCCUUGUUUUUGUAAUAAUUAAAUAAAGAUUUUGCUGUAAAAAAAUGGAGUGUAUUACAAAGAAACGGCCAAAUUGACAUGUAAAAUUCCUGACUCCCCCUCUAAUAAUGUCAUCUGUUUCUUUUUGGGGGGCUUUUAUCAUUUCAGAUGAAAUUCCUGACUAUUUCAUGGAUAUGAUGAUGCAUUUUGGGUUAGCUAUUUCAUGGAUAUGCAGGUUUGUGAUCAUGUGAAUAUUCAUAAGAACAAUAAGAGUGGUUCCUUUGUGAAAUUUGCUGUUCUGUUGCAUAAUCCUGUCAUGUAAAUACAUAUACUGCCUUGUUUUUGUAAUAAUUAAAUAAAGAUUUUGCUGUAAAAAAAUGGAGUGUAUUACAAAGAAACGGC
This 1307-nucleotide ribosomal RNA is filed under the name Triticum aestivum (bread wheat). RNAcentral's name for it is "partial small subunit ribosomal RNA". The record is from RNAcentral. Lineage: Eukaryota; Viridiplantae; Streptophyta; Magnoliopsida; Poales; Poaceae.